This 213-nucleotide ribosomal RNA is filed under the name Trechispora sp. Its description in RNAcentral is "partial large subunit ribosomal RNA". Lineage: Eukaryota; Fungi; Basidiomycota; Agaricomycetes; Trechisporales; Hydnodontaceae. The record is from RNAcentral.
AAACGCUUGAAGUCAGUCGCGUCUGCCGGAACUCAGCCUUGCUUCUGCUUGGCGCACUUUCCGGCCUGACGGGCCAGCAUCGGUUUCGGGCGGUGGACACUGGCGUGGGGAAGGUGGCAGCUCCGGCUGUGUUAUAGCCCCUCGUCGCGAACGCCGCCUGGGACCGAGGAAUCCGGCGCAAGCCUGGGAUGUUGGCGUAAUGGCUUUAAACGA